Molecule: ribosomal RNA, 829 nt
Filed under: uncultured bacterium
Lineage: Bacteria
Description: SSU rRNA
Rfam family: Bacterial small subunit ribosomal RNA
Source: RNAcentral
AGUCGAACGCGAAAGAGUUCUUCGGAACUUGAGUAGAGUGGCGCACGGGUGAGUAACGCGUAAGUGAUCUACCCCUGUAUCUGGAAUAACCAUGGGAAACUGUGGCUAAUACCGGAUACGUUCAUGUGAUUGCGGUCAUGUGAAGAAAGAUGGCCUCUGACUUAAGCUAUCGUACAGGGAGGAGCUUGCGUACCAUUAGCUAGUUGGCAGGGUAAAGGCCUACCAAGGCGACGAUGGUUAGCGGGUCUGAGAGGAUGAUCCGCCACACUGGAACUGAAACACGGACCAGACUCCUACGGGAGGCAGCAGUGAGGAAUAUUGCGCAAUGGGGGCAACCCUGACGCAGCGACGCCGCGUGGAUGAUGAAGGCCUUCGGGUCGUAAAAUCCUGUCGGAUGGGAAGAAGUGUAAUGUGGUUAAUACCCAUGUUAUUUGACGGUACCAUCAAAGGAAGCACCGGCUAACUCCGUGCCAGCAGCCGCGGUAAUACGGAGGGUGCAAGCGUUGUUCGGAAUUACUGGGCGUAAAGCGCGCGUAGGCGGUUUGUUAAGUCAGAUGUGAAAGCCCAGGGCUUAACCCUGGACGUGCAUUUGAAACUGUCAGACUUGAGUAUUGGAGGGGGUGGUGGAAUUCCCGGUGUAGAGGUGAAAUUCGUAGAUAUCGGGAGGAAUACCGGUGGCGAAGGCGACCACCUGGCCAAAUACUGACGCUGAGGUGCGAAGGCGUGGGGAGCAAACAGGAUUAGAUACCCUGGUAGUCCACGCGGUAAACGAUGAGAACUAGGUGUUGGGACGGUUGAUCGUCUCAUUGCCGCAGCUAACGCAUUAAGU